Molecule: ribosomal RNA, 426 nt
Filed under: uncultured bacterium
Lineage: Bacteria
Description: bacterial SSU rRNA
Rfam family: Bacterial small subunit ribosomal RNA
Source: RNAcentral
GAGGGAUUUUGCGCAAUGGGGGAAACCCUGACGCAGCAACGCCGCGUGAGUGAAGAAGGCCUUUGGGUUGUAAAGCUCUGUCGAUGGGGAAGAAGUUAAUAUAGGCGAAUAUCUUAUAUUAUUGACGGUACCUGAGAAGGAAGCAUCGGCUAACUCCGUGCCAGCAGCCGCGGUAAUACGGGGGAUGCAAGCGUUAUUCGGAAUUAUUGGGCGUAAAGGGCGCGUAGGCGGUUUAACAAGUCAGAUGUGAAAGCCCGGGGCUUAACCUCGGAAGUGCAUUUGAAACUGUUGGACUUGAGUACGGUAGAGGAAAGCGGAAUUCCUGGUGUAGAGGUGAAAUUCGUAGAUAUCAGGAGGAACACCGGUGGCGAAGGCGGCUUUCUGGGCCUGUACUGACGCUGAGGCGCGAAGGCGUGGGUAGCGAAC